CUGCUAAUGAAUGGUAAUUCUACGUUGAUCAUGAGGAGGUUGGCGCUCUUUCUCCAAUCUACUUACAAGUUCAUUGAAGCUGGAGCAAGAAUACCAUCUCUUUCUCGAGUCUCAUCCUCCACCACAACCUUUUAUACUCCUCUUCCCAGCUUUAAUCUUAAACAUGGAGUAAGUAUAUAAACAAAUGUCUUUAUGGCUAAUAUAUAUACACACAUAGUUAUUAAUUAUAUAUGCUCUCUGUCUAAUUAGGAUGCGGAAUGUGGUGACGAUGAAAUCCAGGUUGUUGAAAUUGUGGCUGAUGAUAAUACUGUACAAUCAAACAAUGAUCACAUCGACAUUGAUCAAAGUACUCAUCAGCAAUGCCUACAAAUUAGUGAAGAGAUUGUGAAGGAGAAGAAGUUGGAUUGGAGUGAUAUUCAUGAUGUUGACAAGGGAAUUCAUGUUGGAGACAAUUCUGGUCGUCACAUGCUGAUCUUCACAGGGUACAUCAUCCGACAAUUGGCAUGCAAGGAACCGACUAUUUUUCUCCUUGCAAUUGCUGCAAUAUUGUCGUUUGCCUUUGGAAUCAAAGAAGAAGGUGUGCAUAAUGGUUGGUUUGAAGGAGCACUUCUGGUUGUGAUUAUACUUGUGAUUGUUUCGUUUAAGUUUGUACGAAAUUGGUACAAAAGACACCUUUGGAAGAAGCAAAAAGAUAACAAAGAAACGAAGAAUUACCCCCUGUUCAUUUCUGAAACGGACCCCAGCUUUUGUGCCUGUUUUGACAAGUUGAACAAUUAUAUACAUAUUAGUGGGUUGUUGAUUGGCAUUUUGAUCACUGUGGUGCUGUUCAUUCGCUUUAAAUUGGGCCAUAAGGAUGACGAAAAUGGAUAUAGAUUAGAAACCAAGGAAGAACCAGCUGAAAUUGCACAGAAUAAUGAAUGCCGUGAAAAAGGUUUUAACAGAAUCAAAGGGAACAGUAAGAGUUCUGAUAACUUUACUUGGUGUCACACUGGUAGGGAUGACUGAAGGGGUACCAUUUCUUAUUUCAAUUACAAUGGCAUAUUGGUAUCCGAAUUUUGAUGUUAAAAUGGAAUCAGUCAGCACCCUAUGUAUAGAAAAUGUUGGCUGGUUGAAAGAGCAAAAACUGGAAGUUAGUCAGUUUUUUCUUGGCAAAAAAAAUGUUACCAAGAUACCGCCAGAUGUCUGCAGUGUUCUCUCAGAUGGAAUUUGUGUGUCCACUCUGACUUCUCAAACAACCGGCCAAAGAAUGGAAGAACCAAUACUCUGUUGGGCAGAGAAGAACAUGGGUAUGCAGAGAGACACUUUAGAUCAGCAGUUCAUAAUAGUGAAGGACAAUGAUAGUGAGAUGAAUCCUUUUGAAGGACCUUGUGGAGUUGUCAUAGAGAAAAAUGGAGAUAACGGGAAGGAGUACUAUUCACACUUCAAAGGACGGGCUGAUUCAAUAUUGUCAAUGUGUUCAAGUUACUAUGACAUGAAGGGAGAAGUGCAGGAUUUGGAUGACGAAACAAAGAGUGAAUUUGCUCAAGCUAACAACAACAAUGUGAACGUAGUUGCAUUUGCCUGCAAACGUACACAGGUUGUUGAACUUGAUGAAAAUGGCCUAACAUUCAUUGGUAUGUUUGUCUUAGAAGAUAAUUUCAAUCUAGACAACAUGAGGCAAGGAAUUGAGAUUCUGAAAGAAGGUGGAGUGAAGAUGAUAUUUGCCUCGGAAGAAGAUGUUGAAGUGCUUCGUGCCAUUGGUGAUGAAACAGGAUUGCUCAACUCACAUGAUGCUCUAGUAGUUAGGGGUGCAGAUGCUACGAAGGAAAAUGUUGAGAAAAUUUGCAUUAUGGGAAAUUCCUCUCCCACACACAAGCUUCUUUUAAUAGAGGAGUUGAAGAAAAGAGAAGUGGUGGCUGUGGUAGGAGAACAAGCAUCUGAAAGUAAUGUGGUUCUUGAAGCAGCUCAUUUUGGCCUGCCUGUGGUGACUAACUGGCCUGAAACUAUAAAUUAUGUGAUUAACAGCAUCAGGGGAGGAAGAAUUGUUUGUGAGAAUCUGAGGCAAUUCAUCCAAGUUGAGGUAAUCCUGGCAAUCAGUAGCUUAUCAAUAAACUUCAUACUGGUUAUAUUAGACGGAGAUGCCCCGUUAACAUUCAUUCAGUUGGUAUGGGUUAACCUUCUUGUUACAUUUAUUGGAGGGCCAGCUUUGCUAAUUACUCAACAGGCCACAAGAGAACUAAGGGAUAAGCUUUCUAUCAGACCAAGAAAACUGCCAAUUACCAAGGGCAUGUUGAGAAACAUACUUCUUCAAGUUUCUUAUCAGACUGGUAUUUUUGUAUUCCUUCAACACAGAGGAAGUGCAAUACUGGGCAUCACUCCAAAAGUUAACAGAUCUAUAGUCUUUAACGGGUUCGCUCUGUGCCAGCUUUUUAACAUAUUCAGUGCAAGGGGAUUUGGAGCAGAGGAAUUAUUUCAAAGGUCUCGGUCAAAAUUACUUGUUUUGGGCAUUGUCUGGGCUCUAUCUUGUGUUGCAGUUUGGAUUCAUUGAAUUAGAGGCUUUCUUGUUUAGCAACACGGCACGACUGAAUUGGAAGCAAUGGGCUGAAUCCAUUUUAAUUGGAGCUGUCACAUGGUUGCUUGAUGUGAUAGUAAAAUGGGCAUCACAAUACAUAAAGAUGGUCAAAUAUUGUGACCCUGGAGUUCUUCACCUAGGUAGAAACUGGUUACAGGAUUGGUUUGCCAGAGUCAAUUGCUGGGACAGUGGACAAAGUAGCACACCAAAUCCAACUCUUGCUUCUUUGGAUUCUCCAAGAUCCUCUAGUGGAAAGGUACUAUACAAAUUUAUCCAUACUGCCUAAUUACAGAAAAUUCAAAGAGUCUUUUCCUUUUAUUCCUAAAACAAUUUGGAUUCAAGUUGUAGUUGUUCUUUUGCAGGGCUGGAUAACAAAUAUAACACGUCGUGUUAAACCAACCAAGGAUAGAACUAAUACUUUGAUGGAUUAAUCAUAUGUUGCAGUAGCUUUAAUUUUUAGUAUAAAUUUUUCACUGUUUUAUUUAUAGGGAUUAGAUACACCUGCAACAACAGUAAAGUUGUCUCCAUGUGACCUAUAGGUUACGGGUUCGAACCAUACUGGAAUCAGCGGACCUAGUCAAUGCAGGAUGAUUAAGGCACUAGGCUACCCUUUUUAGUCUGUAUGGGCUAGUUAAUUUAUGUUAAUUCAUUUCGUCAAGUUUUUGGUUUCUCGUAUGCAUUGGAUGGAGAUAAAAAAAAAAGGUUUGUUCUUGUUCUCUCGUUCUUCUUCUUUUCACUUUUAACUAAAUUCAAGAAUGCAAACUUACUAUAUAGUACUAAUAUAUACAAAAAGCAAGAUUUUUAUGAAUUUCAAACACAUGGAAAUUUGCUCAAAAUCAUAAAGGAAGCUAGUCAGUACACAUGAUUCUACCAAUUGGCUCGUGCAAGAAGAUAAAUAAUUAAAUAUCAUAUAAUAUGCAAAAAUAUAACUUAAUUACCUCGAUGCAUAUUUUCUUCAACUUGCUGUAAUGUAUUAGACAGAGCUCUUGUUGAGGAGAAACUGACAAUCCAGCAAUGCCUCUUUCUUUGUUGUAUUUUCAUCCGCUAAACUUAGUAGAAAAUGCACGAUGACUCGCAAAAAUAUUUUACAGAAAUAAUUAGUACAAAUAAUUAACAUCUAGAAGGUUGGAACAACAAAAAUGUACUUGGACAUUAAAAAAUAAUAAUUCUAAAAUGCAAUGAAACAAUUAACAUCUAGGUUUGAAGGUAGAAUUGUUCAAACUUCACCCAUAUAUCCCCAAUUUUUAACUCCAAUCACACGUAUGAAUAUGUGCGCGUGUUUUUGUUGUUAGUUGUAUUUACUAAUUACUAUGUAGGGAAAAAUGUUUGAAAUAUAUUCAAACUUUGACCGAAAUUGCUGUAAUAAUAUCGAACUUUGGAAAGGAUCGUUUAUCCCUGCACUAUUUAAUAGUGUAUUUUAAAGGUAUAUAUGUGCUCAUGUGAACAUCAUAAAUAUUGCAUAAUUAUAAAUAGUAACGUGUCCACGUGGGCACAUAUAUACCUUUAAAAUACAAUAUUAAAUAGUGUAGGAGGGUAAAAGGUCCUCCAUAAGGUUUGGUAUCAUAACAACAAUUUCGGCCAAAGUUAAAGUAUUUUUCAGACCCUUUUCCCUACUAGAUAUGUAUAUGAGGGCAAGAUCAAUUGAUAUAUGUAUGUAUACCCUAUUGUUACAUGUAAGUCUACCAUUAUUGAUCGAGUCCACUCAAUGAAAUGAAAAGAAUUUUUAAAUAAUUUUUUAUUUCUACCCUUAAUAUUAAUUAACUGCAUAAAAUAAUAGUAGUCAAAUUUAAUAACGAUCAUAAAAAUAAUAUUAAACUUUGUGAUAAAUUCAUAAAAAUAUUAUUCUAUUUAUAAUAUUAAUGAACUUAAAGAAAAUUUUUAUAAAUAGUUAGGUUAAAAAAUAAAUUAUAUAUAAAAGAGGUAUUACAUAUAUGUGAUAUAACAAGGGUAAAAAGAAUAAUGCAUAGAGUAUAGGGGGAGUUUGAUGAUUGUUUAAAAUUGAGGAAAAGUUUGAUUUUUAAAGCAAAGUUGGAGGGUGAAUAUAUAUAUUUUUUUUCAAAUACUGGUGGACAAAAAUGUGUGUGUGGGGUGAAGUGGUGAUGGUGGGAUCAAAUGAAAAAUUGUGAAUACCGCGUUAUAAAAACGAACCAGCGUUGGGAAAUUGUUUUGGACAAAAUGAGUAUUAACAUUUCGCGACACAAAGCUGAGAAAAACUAAACACUUGAUUAGCAUAAUUACCUAGGAGAAAUUUCUAGGAAGCUGCAUUUCACCACUUGUUUAGAAAGUAGAAAUGAGAAAAUAAGUUCCACAAUGUAGUUUGACGAACUGAGUAAUACAAACCUUCGUCAAAAAAGCACCUAUAAUUUAACAAGCAUUUCACUUGCUAAAAAAAUUAGCAAAGAUUCAAUCGUUAAUCAUAAAGUAGCGUCGACAGAUUCAGAUAGAUUAUAGUAUAAUAAAAACAAUAUUAAUUGUUUCUGGUUCACGUUUUAACAUUUGAAAUUUGUAACUUUCAAAUAAAUUAUAGGUUUGCAUAUUAUACUUUUAACUAUAUAUAUUAUUAUUGUCGUCUUGAAGUUUGAAGGACCGAGAAUAUUAAUUCAAAUUGACUUAAGUCAUUUAUAAGGGAUGCAUGACAUUGUUGGUGAUGUCAUGCCUUAAGAAAAAAACGUUGAUGGAACAGCGCAGGGUGGUGCUAGGAAGCUCCCUUUCCUCCCCUCUCUCUAUAUUUUUACGAUCCUUUUCAAUGAUCAUACUAGCUAAUCACAACAAAGUGCUUUCUUAUUUUAUACUAGCUAGAUCUUAAAAAAGAAUUAGUAGUGUGCACGUACGGCGACAGUACUAGCUAGUAGUGAUCGAAGGUCAGAUAAGUAUAAUAUACAGCUAGCUAGGAUGAUGGAGGUGGAUCAUGAAGAUAAUGGAACAGACAUUGAAGCUCAGCGGAGUUCUCCGUUGUCAAUGAAUGGUACUGAAUUAAGUAAUUCUAGUUUGAUCAUCAUGAGGAGGUUGGCGUUCAUUUUCCUAUCUAUUUACAAGUUCAUUGAAGCUGGAGCAAGCAUAGCAUCAUCUCUUUCACCAGUGUCAUCGUCGUCCUCAACAUCCAACACAACCUUUUAUACUCCUCAUACCAGCUUGAAUCUUGAACAUGGAGUAUGUAUAUCAUCACAACCUUUCAAUUUCAUUUGUUUUAGGAGUAUUGACUCCAUAUUUUACAUUUUUAAGUUAGACUUGAUAAAUUAUAUAAUUUUAUAUUUAUAGUAUUAUUCUUUUUAUCAAACAUGCAUUUUAUGAAAUUAUGUACUUUUUGUUUUUAUGAUUAGUAUAAUUAAAAUAUACUAAAUUGAAAAAUACAAAUCAAUUAGUUUUUAUAAUAUUAGUCAAGAACAUAUGUUUAUUAAUUAAUAUAUUUUCAAAAGACAAUAUAUAUCUUAAAUAUUCAAUUUAAUAUCAUUUAUAAAGGGCAUUAUUAGUCUAAUAUAAAUUUUAAUUUUAAUUUUUAAAAUUCAAUAUAACCUUAUGAUUACACUUGUGCAAUAAAACAUUACACUUGUAAUUAGGGGUGUGCAUUCGGUUUUACAGUUUGGAUUUGUACUAUUUGGUUUGGAUUUUUCGGUUUUUGAUUUUGAAGAAGUGUAACCCAAUCCGAAUCAAAAUAAAUUUGGUUUGGUUUGGUAUUUUUCCUUUUGGUUUGAGUUUUUUCGGUUCGAUUAAUCGGUUAUGUCGAUAAUUAGAAACAUAACAAAGUUAUAUUUGUAAUUUGAAUAUAUAUAGUUUUUUUGGUUUCUUUUUUCUAAAUCUGAAACCAAACCAAAAAAACAAACAAAAUAAAUCAUAGAUUCAAAACCGAAUCAGAAAUCCAAAAAAUCAAUCCAAAUUAGAAUUCGAUUUGAUUUGGUUUGAUUUUUCUGUUUAAUUCAAAAUAGUGCAUACCCCUACUUGUAAUUACACUGUGGCAAACAAACAAAUCAGCGUAAUUACUAGAUUGUGUAAUUUACUAGGCUGGUAAUUACUACAAUAAUAAUUACCCCAAUUCCAAUCACUCAGUGGCUUUCCAAACAUACUAUUACAUAUUUCUUAACAUCUAGUAUUUAGAACAUUAUCUUUUUCCUAUUCCAACUAUAUCAUUGAUUUGUCCCUCUAAGUUUUUAUUGUUACAAGAGUUACAUUUAUGGCAUAGUCUUUAUCCAUAAUAUUAUAAUCGAUUAGAUAAUUAACUGUCACUUGUAAUUUAUAGAUGAAUACAGUCACUUUAUAACUCUUUCGUUUAAAAUUAAGUUAGGAGGUGAAAAUGUUGUGAAAAUAUUUUAAUUACUCUAUAUUUAACUUAUUAGAUAUUUAUAACAUUUUUAAUUAUGAUAGGGGUAAAAUGGUAUUUCAACUUUACUUUUGUGGCUUCGUGUUAAAUAAUAACAAAAGUCUCACAUUGAUGGUUAAUGAGAUUAGUGAUCUCUUUAUAAGCUUGGUCAAUCAUCCUCUCUUUAAUCUAGCUUUUAGGGUGUGAGUAAAGUCCAAGACCUAAUUUUCACACUUCUCACUCUUAUAGUAUGACUAGUAUUUGGGCACGUGCGGUGCGCGUAUAUCCCUUACCAGUGAGCAUAAGUAUUUUUCAAAAUUGCAUCAAUAUGAUAAAUAUAUUCAAAAAUCAAUGACAUCCAAUGUCUAAAAUGUCCAACUUUGAAGAUUCUUAAUUAGUACUAAAUUGAUUUUAAUUUGAAUUUAUGAGUUAAAAUUUGAUAUGAAUUUGUCAAAUUUUAGUAGUUUUUAUAUAGAUAUUAUGUUUUGAUUUAAAAAAUAAUUAAGUUAAUUAAAUCCAUAAAUUAUAGGCUUAAUAUGCUCAUAUCAUCAAUUAACCGUUGUCCUACCUCCAAAAUCAAUAUUACAUUUCUAAACGAAAUUCAUUUGAUGCGACUCAACGCAAUUAUAAUAUUUUUUGUAGUUAGAAAAGGAAUUCAACAUUUCAUUUAUAUUUUGUCGACUGUAUUGUUAACAUUGUAAUUGAGAAACAAAAAGACAUGUAUUGUUUUAUGUUGUCAAAAAAAAGAAGAAACAAAAAGACAUGAUAAAAAAUAAUAUUAUGACAUGUGAGUGAUAAGUAAUAUAAAUUCUGAAGGAGAAAGGGAGGGAUAAACUAUGGCUCAAAUAACUAAAAUAAUCAACGAAAAUUAAAACAAAGAAAGUUAAUAUAAUUUCGUGAGAAAAAUAACCAAAAGAUGAUAUUGUAUUCAUUCCUUUCUUUCUUAACAUGGGUUGUUUAUCCUCCCUCUUCUUUCUUUUUGGAUGAAAGCUCCAUUAAAAAAAUUAAAUUCAGACAAAGAAAGUGAAGUCAAAUAGGCAAUGAAUAUCAAAUCACUCAACAUGCCAUAGCUCAUAAAUACAUUUUUUACUUUUAUUGGGUUAUGACGAUUAAUAUCAAAAUUCAAUACUUAAUUAGCUUUACACACAAAUAAAUCACACGAAUCUGCAUAUGAAAAUUCAAUAAACUUGACCUACUAUUGACAAAAUAAAAAUAAAAAAGAAAAGAAAAACCAAACAAAGAAUAUUGUGCUAACAAAAAAAUUAUGUUAGAAGGAAAUGUCACUUACCCCAUUUGUAUCGACACAACUCAAAGUACAGUUCUAUGCGAUUGACACAGAAGCAUCUCAUCAAUUGAUUUUUUCUGCAACAAAAAAAAUCAUCUCAUA
This 8232-nucleotide long non-coding RNA is filed under the name Solanum tuberosum (potato). RNAcentral describes it as "long non-coding RNA (STUB_LNC003227)". The record is from RNAcentral. Lineage: Eukaryota; Viridiplantae; Streptophyta; Magnoliopsida; Solanales; Solanaceae.